Long non-coding RNA from Phycodurus eques (leafy seadragon), 309 nucleotides. RefSeq lists it as uncharacterized. NCBI's taxonomy places the organism in Eukaryota, Metazoa, Chordata, Actinopteri, Syngnathiformes, Syngnathidae. The transcript has 3 exons. The record is from RefSeq and is a predicted model, not a curated record.
GUCACCUCCCACCACCACCAUUCAGACGGCUCUGACAGAUAAACCUUCUUGUUUUACCAACACCUCUUCAUACCAGUUAUACCAGAAACAUAACUUCGAUGAUGACCCACAAGAACCUCUGUCUGUUCAGCCAGGAAGACAUCAACAAUGAAGGAAGUUAAGGUUUCCAGCAGUCGAGUCACUGGAGCAAAGCCCCUGGCUGCGUAAUCCGCCUGAGUUUAGAAGCGGACUAAACCAUUCAGGUGCCUUCUAUCCCAGGACGGUUGUGCUCUAUUAAUCUGCAGGAGGGAGGAUAAAUAGGUAAAAGGU